UCCAAGAACCUGUUGACAAUGCUAAGUGAGGACUUAAAGUGUAUCGUUCUAGAAUGUUAGGGUAUUUCAUGUUCCAAAGGAAGGAUGAUUUGCCAAAUUCAUCUUUAAAGAACUAAACUAGUGAAUACUUCCCAAAGUAUUUUUCAGGAAAUCGAUUUUUAGUUUCAGGGGAAUAUACAUAAUCUUCAAGAGAUAUGAUCUACCUACCUGACAGUCUUAUAUUCCACACAACUGACCAGAGCCUCAACUUAUCUGCAAUCAACAAGACUCCUCUAGCCUUGGAAAAGCUUCUUGGUGACUCUGGACCCCAGAAAAAUCAAUAUUUUUCUCACUUCCUUUAUUAGAUUUAACGAUUUAACUUGUGAGGAGAAGAAAUUAGGUCUAAAAAUCUUGAACAGACUAUCUAUUUAGGGUAGUUUUAAAGUUUAUAAUCAGGACAAGACAAUAGGGUUAAUCAUACGCAAAUACAGUGUAAUUAUGUUGUUAGAUAAAAAAAAAUAGCCUAUGUAUGACCGUAUUGAAACAUUAAAAACUCAUUCAGUUGAAUUUCUGAAACACAUGUGGAGAAAAAAAACAUAAUAUACCAAAAUUUGCCAGCAAAUUCAUUUUUAAGUUCAUUUUACUUUGCCAGUCUUACUAUCCUGUGGGUACUGUACAAUACACAGAGUGGAAAAAUGUUAUUAGCCAUGUACAACACUCUAUGGACUAAAAGGUUCCUACUGCUUUCUUCAACUGCUGUGCUUCAUUUUACUG
Long non-coding RNA from Symphalangus syndactylus (siamang), 753 nucleotides. RefSeq lists it as uncharacterized. Lineage: Eukaryota; Metazoa; Chordata; Mammalia; Primates; Hylobatidae. The record is from RefSeq and is a predicted model, not a curated record.